This 64-nucleotide microRNA precursor is filed under the name Triops cancriformis. RNAcentral's name for it is "microRNA tcf-mir-318 precursor". Its record names the gene tcf-mir-318. The record is from miRBase by way of RNAcentral. Lineage: Eukaryota; Metazoa; Arthropoda; Branchiopoda; Notostraca; Triopsidae.
GGGAGAACCCUACCUUAGUGGAUGGAGCCUAUUUAGUAACAUCACUGGGUAAGGUUCGCCCCCG